ACUCAAAGGAAUUGACGGGGGCCCGCACAAGCGGUGGAGCAUGUGGUUUAAUUCGAUGCAACGCGAAGAACCUUACCAGGGCUUGACAUCUUGCGAAUCCGAUGGAAACAUUGGAGUGCCCUUUAAGGGAACGCAAAGACAGGUGGUGCAUGGUUGUCGUCAGCUCGUGUCGUGAGAUGUUGGGUUAAGUCCCGCAACGAGCGCAACCCUUGCCCUUAGUUGCCAUCACGUGAAGGUGGGCACUCUAAGGGGACUGCCGGUGACAAACCGGAGGAAGGUGGGGAUGACGUCAAAUCAUCAUGCCCUUUAUGUCCUGGGCUACACACGUGCUACAAUGGCCGGUACAGAGGGCAGCGAACUCGUGAGGGGGAGCCAAUCCCAAAAAGCCGGCCUAAGUUCGGAUUGCAGGCUGCAACUCGCCUGCAUGAAGUCGGAAUCGCUAGUAAUCGCGGAUCAGCAUGCCGCGGUGAAUACGUUCCCGGGCCUUGUACACACCGCCCGU
Molecule: ribosomal RNA, 502 nt
Filed under: uncultured bacterium
Lineage: Bacteria
Description: bacterial SSU rRNA
Rfam family: Bacterial small subunit ribosomal RNA
Source: RNAcentral